AUCCUUUUCCAGUUCAUAAGCAUGAUGAUUGGGUAUUCUUCAUGCCAUUGUGUGAGAUGUAUCAACCUUAAGCAUUGCACAAUGCCCACACAUUACCUUUCUGAUG
Molecule: small nucleolar RNA, 106 nt
Organism: Talpa occidentalis (Iberian mole)
Lineage: Eukaryota; Metazoa; Chordata; Mammalia; Eulipotyphla; Talpidae
Product: small nucleolar RNA U13
Exons: 1
Source: RefSeq, a predicted model, not a curated record